AGGUGCGACCAUAGCAGCACUAACGCGCUGGAUUCCAUAAGAACUCCAAAGUUAAGCGUGCUUGGGCGAGAGUACUACUAGGAUGGGUGACCCCCUAGGAAGUCCUCGUGUUACACCCC
This 119-nucleotide ribosomal RNA is filed under the name Olea europaea subsp. europaea. The record is from RNAcentral. Lineage: Eukaryota; Viridiplantae; Streptophyta; Magnoliopsida; Lamiales; Oleaceae.